This 700-nucleotide ribosomal RNA is filed under the name uncultured bacterium. RNAcentral describes it as "bacterial SSU rRNA". It matches the Rfam family "Bacterial small subunit ribosomal RNA", at positions 8 to 701 of the family's 1533-position model. The record is from RNAcentral.
AGAGUUUGAUCAUGGCUCAGAUUGAACGCUGGCGGCAUGCCUUACACAUGCAAGUCGAACGGCAGCACGGGUGCUUGCACCUGGUGGCGAGUGGCGAACGGGUGAGUAAUGCAUCGGAACGUACCCGGAAGUGGGGGAUAACGUAGCGAAAGUUACGCUAAUACCGCAUAUUCUGUGAGCAGGAAAGCGGGGGAUCGCAAGACCUCGCGCUUCCGGAGCGGCCGAUGUCGGAUUAGCUAGUUGGUGAGGUAAAGGCUCACCAAGGCGACGAUCAGUAGCUGGUCUGAGAGGACGACCAGCCACACUGGAACUGAGACACGGUCCAGACUCCUACGGGAGGCAGCAGUGGGGAAUUUUGGACAAUGGGCGAAAGCCUGAUCCAGCCAUUCCGCGUGAGUGAAGAAGGCCUUCGGGUUGUAAAGCUCUUUCGCAAGGGAAGAAAGAUUACUUUUUAAUAAAGAGUGAUUAUGACGGUACCUUGAUAAGAAGCACCGGCUAACUACGUGCCAGCAGCCGCGGUAAUACGUAGGGUGCGAGCGUUAAUCGGAAUUACUGGGCGUAAAGCGAGCGCAGGCGGUUCUGCAAGUCAGAUGUGAAAUCCCCGGGCUCAACCUGGGAACUGCGUUUGAAACUACAGAGCUAGAGUAUAGGAGAGGGAGGUAGAAUUCCACGUGUAGCAGUGAAAUGCGUAGAGAUGUGG